Molecule: long non-coding RNA, 1902 nt
Organism: Bos taurus (domestic cattle)
Lineage: Eukaryota; Metazoa; Chordata; Mammalia; Artiodactyla; Bovidae
Source: Ensembl
AUAGCUUUUCUUCCAAGGAGUGAGUGUCUUUUAAUUUCAUGGCUGCAGUCACCGUUCACAGUGAUUUUGGAGCCUAAGAAAAUAAAAUAUGUCACUGUUUCCACUUUUUCCCCAUGUAUUUGCCAUGAAGUGAUGGGACCAGACGCCAUGAUCAUAGUUUUUUGAAUGUUGAGUUUUAAGCUAGCUUUUUCACUUUCCUCUUUCACCUUCAUCAAGAGGAUCUUUGGUUCCUCUUCAUUUUCUGCCAUAAGGGUGGUAUCAUCUGCAUAUCUGAGGUUGCUGAUUCUUGAUUCCAGCUUGUGAUUCAUCUAGUCUAGUGUUUUGCAUGAUGUACUCUGCAUAUAAAUUAGAUGAGCAGGGUGACAAUAUACAGCCUUGAUGUACUCCUUUCCCAAUUUUGAACCAGUCCAUGGUUCCAUGUCUAGUUCUAACUGCUGCUUCUUGACCUGUGUAUAGGUUUCUUAGGAGACAGGUAAGGUGGUCUGGUAUUCCCAUCUCUUUCAGAAUUUUGCACAGUUUGUUGUCAUCUACAUAGUCAAAGGCUUUAGCAUAGUUGAUGAAGCAGAAGUAGAUGUUUUUCUGGAAUUCUCUUGCUUUUUCUAUGAUCCAACUGAAUGUUGGCAAUUUGAUCUCUGGUUCCCCUGCCUUUUCUAAAUCCAACUUGUACAUUUGGAAGUUCUCGGUUCACCUACUACCGAAUCCUAGCUUGAAGGAUUUUGAGCAUUACCUUGCUAGCAUUUGAAAUGAGCACAGUUGUAUGGUAAUUUGAAUAAUCUUUGAUAUUGCCUUUCUUUGGGAUUGGAAUGAAAUCCACAUGUAUGUAAUCAACCCAGCUUUAAUCAUGCCUACAUGGUUAGGUCACUAACAUUUGAAAUCACUGAUGUCCAUGUGGAUCUGUGUUCAGAAACCAUGACUUUGAAAGUAGAAGGAAGGAUAGGGAUUUUUCAAACAGCCCACACAAUUCUAACCUAAGGACUCAGGGAAGAAGUUGACUGUGCAGUGGGGUAGCUUUAGAAAUGAACUCAGGUUAGUGGGUGUGAGAGAGAUCAAUCCUGACAUUUGCACUUGAGAAUUAUUUGGGUUAAGGAUAAGCCAAAAUCACCCUGGCCAUUAACAAAUCCUUUGGACUGCUGAACAAAGUGGUGUCGCACUUACCAGCAGUUAAAUGUUGAAAUAAAAGCAUUUUACUUUGGGUACCAUUGUUGGAAAAGUGUUAACAGGCUAGACAUUCUCUUAACACUGAACUUUCAUAUUUUAAGCAUUACUCUUUUCACUCUUUGGUUUCGCUCCUAAGUAACAGAAAUUUGGGACACCUAUUUUGCUAAGUCUUUGCUCACUGCUGGACGCCAAUGAAAUAUACACUGUACGGAUUAUCACCUCCAAAGAUGCUGCUCUACCAUGGAAGACCCCUGCUGAUGCUUACUUUAAACUAAGUACUUUUAAAAGCAUUUCACAGGUGUUUCAUUUUUAUAGGCGGUUUGUAACCCAUCUCAUUUCCAGGGUAAAGCUUUGAGGAGGGUACCAUUUAAAUGGAAGCUCACAGAGAUAAUUUGCCCAGAGUCACACCACUACAAAGCCCUCAAUCAGCUCUGAUGCCAGAGCCUGUCCAUUAACUACCGUAGCAGGAAUGCCCAUGAGACAAAGACAUCUGCUGGAGGAACAUCUGGGGCUCUUCCUUAAAAGGUGGCUCAGAUGAUAAGGAACCUGCCAGCAAUUUGGGAGACCGGAGUUCAAUCCCUGGUGAGGAAGAUCCCCUGGAGAAGGGAAUGGCUAUCCAGUCCAGUAUUCUUGCCUGGAGAAUCCCAUGGACAGAGGAGCCUGGUGGGCUACAGUCCACGUGGUCACAAAGAGUUGGACAUGACUGAGAGACUAACACUGUAAUAAAACAGCUUGAAUCAACAC